GAGGAAACUGAAUCUCAGAAAGUUACAUCAUUUGCUCAAAGCCACUUAGCUGGUAUGUGUAGGUCUAAAACUCAAUCCCCAGCUCAGCCUGCCACAAGGGCCACUCUCAACUGCCAUAUUACCUGUCAGAUCAUUGCUAUCAGUGCCCUGGUUGCAUCUUGCUUGCCCACACCUUUGCUCAUGCUUUUCCACAGGUCUGCACUGCUCCCCAUUGCCUUCCCUCCCGCCUCACCAGUUGAUCCCUAUACCUCCUUCACAAUGACCUCCAGGAGGCCUCUAACUUACAGUGACAGGAUCACAGAAUGUGAAUUUUGAACAGAUCUGAAAAGUUAUUAAGUUCAACUCCACAGAGGUUCCUAGGAGAAUGUUAACAGUCCAGACCUUUUUCACUACAUCAACCAUGGAUGACUGGCAUAUAAAAUCCUACUUAACCUUUACAUAACUGCAAUACCAGGAA
This 457-nucleotide long non-coding RNA is filed under the name Pan troglodytes (chimpanzee). RNAcentral's name for it is "long non-coding RNA NONPTRT012691". Lineage: Eukaryota; Metazoa; Chordata; Mammalia; Primates; Hominidae. The record is from RNAcentral.